Cervus elaphus (red deer) is the source of this 1247-nucleotide RNA transcript. It is a transcript of the gene named neuralized E3 ubiquitin protein ligase 2, with no coding region annotated. The record is from RefSeq and is a predicted model, not a curated record. The transcript has 3 exons. NCBI's taxonomy places the organism in Eukaryota, Metazoa, Chordata, Mammalia, Artiodactyla, Cervidae.
CUUCGAGGCGGGAUGGCCGAGCCAGCGGCGCUAGGACCCCUGGGCAGAGCCUCGGGGAAGGGAGUCGGUGGGCGGGGGGCAAUACCUUACAUGGUGCACCCGCCCCCCUCCCGUGGUCACCAUCUGAGUCCGCUGCCCAAAAUAGCCCCCGGCGCCCGCAGGUCUGCUCCAUGGCCCGGAGAUGGCUGCUGUCUCCGACCCCGUGGGGCUGGGUGCGCCGUGGGGACCGGCGCUCCCCGAGCCCCCUCCCACCCGCUUCCACCCAGUGCACGGUGCCAACAUCCGCGUGGACCUCUCCGGGACGCGGGCCACACGCGUGGAGAGCUUCGCCCACGGCGUGUGCUUCAGUCGCGAGCCGCUGGCCCCCGGCCAGGUGUUCCUGGUUGAGAUCGAGGAGAAAGAGCUGGGCUGGUGCGGGCACCUGCGCCUCGGCCUGACCGCGCUGGACCCCGCCAGUCUGGCCGCCGUGCCCGAAUUUUCGCUACCCGACCUGGUCAGCCUCGGGCACACCUGGGUCUUCGCCAUCACGCGCCAUCACAACCGCGUGCCCCGGGAGGGCCGCCCGGAGGCAGAGGCCCUGGCCCCCAGUCGUCCCCCAGCCCUCCUGGUGGAACCGUAUCUCUGCAUCGAGCAGUUUCGCAUUCCCCGCGACCGCCUGGUCGGCCGCAGCCGGCCGGGUUUGUACAGCCACCUCUUGGAUCAGCUCUAUGAGCUGAAUGUGCUGCCUCCGACCGCGCGCCGCAGCCGCCUGGGCGUUCUCUUCUGCCCGCGCCCGGACGGCACGGCUGACAUGCACAUCGUCAUCAACGGCGAGGACAUGGGCCCCAGCGCCCGGGGGCUGCCAGCCGCCCAGCCCCUCUACGCGGUGGUGGACGUCUUCGCCUCCACCAAGAGCGUGCGCUUGGUCCAGCUGGAGUAUGGCUGCAAGAAUACUGGAGUGGGUUGCCAUGACCUCCUCUAGGGGAUCUUCCUGACCCAGAGAUCGAACCCACAGAUGCUGCAGCUCCUGCGUUGGCAAGUGGAUUCUUUACCACUGAACCGCCUGGGAAGCCAUAUAUCUGAAUUCACAUUUUAUGAAUUCAGUAGACGAGAACCCUCUCUGUGCCAGUGCCGUCCCUGCAGACCCUGUGCCGCCUGGUGAUCCAGAGGAGCGUGGUGCACCGGUUGGCCAUUGAUGGGCUCCAUCUGCCCAAAGGACUUAAGGAUUUCUGCAAGUAUGAGUGAAGGCCUGCACCGCCCUGGAGCAG